This is a non-coding RNA of Pelobates cultripes (western spadefoot toad), 868 nucleotides long. Lineage: Eukaryota; Metazoa; Chordata; Amphibia; Anura; Pelobatidae. The record is from the annotation of a GenBank genome assembly.
GUACAGUUCACUUUAUGAAGCAAUAGAAUGUUCACAGUUGUUUUUCAUUCAGCUUUCAGAUUUCCAUUCAAUGUUACAAUGUAGUCUCAACAACUGGUAGGUAGCUGUUAUUAAAAUGAAAAAAUAUGAUCCUUCCCUCUGCCCUGAAAUGAACACUUUAUAUCAUACUUAUUGUUAUGGGAGCAACCAUUGUUUCUUAGUAUGGGCUGUUGCAUGGCAGAGUAACAAACCUACUUCCAUACAAAGUAACAAAACUACUGCCAUACAAAGUAACAAGACCACUUCAAUGCUAAGUAACAAAACCACUUCCCUACAAAGUAACAAGACAUUUUCCAUGCAUAGUUAUUGUGAUAGAAUUUAUCUUGAUUCCAAGGCUCAAGCUUAUAGGUGUAUAAUAUAGCUUAUAGCUUACCUUGGGCAUACAGGGAAUCUUUUCCCUUCUUGUACUGAGUCACUUUAUGUGGCUUAUGACGCCCACAUUUCUUGCAGUAGGUCCGACGUGUCUUUGGAACAUUAACCAUCUUGGCCUACCGCGUAGCCACUGAUAUUGGUUUAGAUAACCCGGUGACCAUAUACACACCGCAUGAUAUCAACAGCAUACUGUCACAAGUUCAACCAAAACACAUACAUACUGCAAGGCAUCUUAGAAUGCAAUGUGCCUUGCUUAUGCCACCUAAUGUUACUCUUAAAAGGUGUAUGGUGUUAAAUCCAUCUACAUUGCUUCCCCUGGAUUUAAAAGAGGGGAGUGGGGAUAGUGGGAAUGGUACUUGUACAUCUGAUCUUUUUGUAAAUUCACUUUCACCAGAUGAGUUAGCUGAUGCACAGGUACCCCAUGAUUGUGCAGCACUAAUGGCACAAGAAACAGCAG